CCCGCCUACAGGGCCAGGCUGGGGACCGCCCCGCUGGCCUCCCUGGGACCCCAUGCUGAGUCCUCCCCGGGGGAAGACCCUCCUGGCAGCGUCUUGCCGGGCUUUCUCCGCCAACAGGAGAUCCCCGGGUACUGCCGUCCACCCCUGACGGCGCCUGCACUGACCCCGACCCUCACACACCACGUGGGACGCCACCAGUCAUCCCACACUGAGGUUGGACACCCAUCACCCCGUGCCCGGCCCACGAGGCUUGGGGUGGGCUGGUGAACCCCGUAGGCCAUCGUUUGUUCUUAAGGAGCUUGCAUUCUAGGGACCCACGGGAAAGAACUGAACACGCCAGAGAGACACAGCUCCGAUGGAGGCUGCGCAGAGUUGAAGACGGACGGCCAUGGCCACGGCACCCGAGAUUCAGCUGAAGGAGGGGCUGUUUGAGCUGAGGCCUGUUGGUCCGCGUGGAGGGAACACUGGUGGCUUUCUCAUAGUUCUGGCGAUCAGAAGUCUCCAGCGGGUCUCACUGGGGAAGUGGAGGGGUCAGCCAGGCUGCCUUCCUUUCUGAGGUUCUGGGGAGAACCCAUUUCCUUGGUUUUUCUAGUCUCUAGACCUGGAGGAGCCCCUAGCAUACAGUAGGCACUCUGCAGAGGCGCACAGAGUUGACGGUUGCAUGUAGGAAUGGACAAUGCCCUCCCGGGGUGGGGUCUGGCUGCUCAGUUCCCUAGCAGCUGCCCACUGGGCCCUGGCUCACAGAAGCUGCAGCAUCCCAGGCCCAGCCAGGGAGGCUCGGUUUUGAGCCUCUGGGGAGCUCCCUCUGGAAAGAGAAACUUUAUAUUUAAGAAAGAAAACUGUGAGAAUUUGAGCGGAGGCUUCCCAGCCACCUUGUCUGAGUGGGAACCCCGCAUGGAGGAAACAGAACAAGACUUCUGAGCCCAUUUGAGUCUGGACACCUCCAUGCCUUAACACCUGGGAUCCAAUGCAUUUCUUUUUUGCUUAAGUCACUUUGAGUUGAGUCUCUGGGGCUCACUGCUCUGAGCAUCUUCACUCCAGGGCGAGAGACAUGUCAGACAGAGGAGCCUUAGACCU
Molecule: long non-coding RNA, 1077 nt
Filed under: Marmota monax (woodchuck)
Lineage: Eukaryota; Metazoa; Chordata; Mammalia; Rodentia; Sciuridae
Source: RNAcentral